GCCAGAGUCUGGGGAACUAAGAGAAGACAUCUGAGCCAGAGUCAGGAAGAGAGGCUGAGUAACACCGGAACCUGGAGGAGGAAGCUUUGGAAAGCCAUCAGGGCAGGACUGUCAUCCAUUCCACAGGAGAAACUGGUCCUGGGGUGCCACAUAGAGGGACCUGGACACACAGAUGUGACCUGGUGCUGUUGCUCUUCAUCCUGGCCUAUUAGCACCUGCGGAGCCCUUGACUGCAGAUACAAAGGGAAAACCUUAGCCAUCGAGGAACAGAACUGUCCGUUCACGUGCUCAUCCUAAGACCGGAAGUCAAGAGUGCUGUGAAGAAACCAUUCCUUUUACUCUCUCACAUCGCACAUCCUCUGACGACUAUCCUCCCAGCUCCUCCCAAUGGUGACUUUGCUUUUAGAGCUUGCUGGUCGGAACGCACAAUGCUGUGUAGGCUGCAGGCACAGUGUUAGUGGACACCUUACUGACCCACACAAGGAAGGAGCUCGGAGCCGGGUUGCUAGCUCUCCUCUGCUCACAGCUUUUGGUUCCAGGCUGCUGGGAAAAGUGUACCUGCAAUCUCUCCUGGGAUUCUCAUUUUUAACCAGACCCACUGGAGGUGCGGAGGCUACUGUUAAGCAUGGGGGAGUGAUGGGUGCCAAUGAUCUUCAGCACACACUGCUCCAUGUUCUAUGAGCUGGAAACCACUCUGGAU
Peromyscus eremicus (cactus mouse) is the source of this 700-nucleotide long non-coding RNA. RefSeq lists it as uncharacterized. Lineage: Eukaryota; Metazoa; Chordata; Mammalia; Rodentia; Cricetidae. The transcript has 3 exons. The record is from RefSeq and is a predicted model, not a curated record.